RNAcentral lists this transfer RNA (84 nucleotides) under Flavobacteriaceae bacterium. RNAcentral's name for it is "tRNA-Leu". It matches the Rfam family "tRNA". From Rfam's summary of the family: Transfer RNA (tRNA) molecules are approximately 80 nucleotides in length. Their secondary structure includes four short double-helical elements and three loops (D, anti-codon, and T loops). The record is from RNAcentral. Lineage: Bacteria; Pseudomonadati; Bacteroidota; Flavobacteriia; Flavobacteriales; Flavobacteriaceae.
GCGCAAGUGGCGGAAUGGUAGACGCGCUAGGUUGAGGGCCUAGUGGGAGAUAAUCCCGUGGAAGUUCGAGUCUUCUCUUGCGCA